This 753-nucleotide ribosomal RNA is filed under the name uncultured Comamonadaceae bacterium. Its description in RNAcentral is "bacterial SSU rRNA". It matches the Rfam family "Bacterial small subunit ribosomal RNA", at positions 28 to 776 of the family's 1533-position model. Lineage: Bacteria; Pseudomonadati; Pseudomonadota; Betaproteobacteria; Burkholderiales; Comamonadaceae. The record is from RNAcentral.
AUUGAACGCUGGCGGCAUGCCUUACACAUGCAAGUCGAACGGCAGCACGGGAGCAAUCCUGGUGGCGAGUGGCGAACGGGUGAGUAAUACAUCGGAACGUGCCCAAUCGUGGGGGAUAACGCAGCGAAAGCUGUGCUAAUACCGCAUACGAUCUACGGAUGAAAGCAGGGGAUCGCAAGACCUUGCGCGAAUGGAGCGGCCGAUGGCAGAUUAGGUAGUUGGUGAGGUAAAGGCUCACCAAGCCGUCGAUCUGUAGCUGGUCUGAGAGGACGACCAGCCACACUGGGACUGAGACACGGCCCAGACUCCUACGGGAGGCAGCAGUGGGGAAUUUUGGACAAUGGGCGAAAGCCUGAUCCAGCCAUGCCGCGUGCAGGAUGAAGGCCUUCGGGUUGUAAACUGCUUUUGUACGGAACGAAACGGCCUUUUCUAAUAAAGAGGGCUAAUGACGGUACCGUAAGAAUAAGCACCGGCUAACUACGUGCCAGCAGCCGCGGUAAUACGUAGGGUGCAAGCGUUAAUCGGAAUUACUGGGCGUAAAGCGUGCGCAGGCGGUUAUGUAAGACAGUUGUGAAAUCCCCGGGCUCAACCUGGGAACUGCAUCUGUGACUGCAUAGCUAGAGUACGGUAGAGGGGGAUGGAAUUCCGCGUGUAGCAGUGAAAUGCGUAGAUAUGCGGAGGAACACCGAUGGCGAAGGCAAUCCCCUGGACCUGUGCUGACGCUCAUGCACGAAAGCGUGGGGAGCAAACAGG